RNAcentral lists this ribosomal RNA (749 nucleotides) under Staphylococcus sp. RNAcentral describes it as "bacterial SSU rRNA". It matches the Rfam family "Bacterial small subunit ribosomal RNA", at positions 95 to 831 of the family's 1533-position model. Lineage: Bacteria; Bacillati; Bacillota; Bacilli; Caryophanales; Staphylococcaceae. The record is from RNAcentral.
GCGGCGGACGGGUGAGUAACACGUGGAUAACCUACCUAUAAGACUGGGAUAACUUCGGGAAACCGGAGCUAAUACCGGAUAACAUAUUGAACCGCAUGGUUCAAUAGUGAAAGGCGGCUUUGCUGUCACUUAUAGAUGGAUCCGCGCCGUAUUAGCUAGUUGGUAAGGUGACGGCUUACCAAGGCAACGAUACGUAGCCGACCUGAGAGGGUGAUCGGCCACACUGGAACUGAGACACGGUCCAGACUCCUACGGGAGGCAGCAGUAGGGAAUCUUCCGCAAUGGGCGAAAGCCUGACGGAGCAACGCCGCGUGAGUGAUGAAGGUCUUCGGAUCGUAAAACUCUGUUAUCAGGGAAGAACAAAUGUGUAAGUAACUGUGCACAUCUUGACGGUACCUGAUCAGAAAGCCACGGCUAACUACGUGCCAGCAGCCGCGGUAAUACGUAGGUGGCAAGCGUUAUCCGGAAUUAUUGGGCGUAAAGCGCGCGUAGGCGGUUUUUUAAGUCUGAUGUGAAAGCCCACGGCUCAACCGUGGAGGGUCAUUGGAAACUGGAAAACUUGAGUGCAGAAGAGGAAAGUGGAAUUCCAUGUGUAGCGGUGAAAUGCGCAGAGAUAUGGAGGAACACCAGUGGCGAAGGCGACUUUCUGGUCUGUAACUGACGCUGAUGUGCGAAAGCGUGGGGAUCAAACAGGAUUAGAUACCCUGGUAGUCCACGCCGUAAACGAUGAGUGCUAAGUGUUAGGGGGU